Molecule: ribosomal RNA, 760 nt
Filed under: uncultured bacterium
Lineage: Bacteria
Description: bacterial SSU rRNA
Rfam family: Bacterial small subunit ribosomal RNA
Source: RNAcentral
UCUUCUUCGGAAGAGAGCGGCGGACGGGUGAGUAACGUGUGGGUAACCUGCCCUGUACACACGGAUAACAUACCGAAAGGUAUGCUAAUACGGGAUAACAUAAGAAAUUCGCAUGUUUUUCUUAUCAAAGCUCCGGCGGUACAGGAUGGACCCGCGUCUGAUUAGCUAGUUGGUGAGGUAACGGCUCACCAAGGCGACGAUCAGUAGCCGACCUGAGAGGGUGAUCGGCCACAUUGGAACUGAGACACGGUCCAAACUCCUACGGGAGGCAGCAGUGGGGAAUAUUGCACAAUGGGCGAAAGCCUGAUGCAGCAACGCCGCGUGAGCGAUGAAGGCCUUCGGGUCGUAAAGCUCUGUCCUCAAGGAAGAUAAUGACGGUACUUGAGGAGGAAGCCCCGGCUAACUACGUGCCAGCAGCCGCGGUAAUACGUAGGGGGCUAGCGUUAUCCGGAUUUACUGGGCGUAAAGGGUGCGUAGGCGGUCUUUUAAGUCAGGAGUGAAAGGCUACGGCUCAACCGUAGUAAGCUCUUGAAACUGGAGGACUUGAGUGCAGGAGAGGAGAGUGGAAUUCCUAGUGUAGCGGUGAAAUGCGUAGAUAUUAGGAGGAACACCAGUAGCGAAGGCGGCUCUCUGGACUGUAACUGACGCUGAGGCACGAAAGCGUGGGGAGCAAACAGGAUUAGAUACCCUGGUAGUCCACGCCGUAAGCGAUGAGUACUAGGUGUCGGGGGUUACCCCCCUCGGUGCCGCAGCUAACGCA